UAGUCACCUUCAAACAAACAAAUUUGAUAAAUUCAAACUUAGAGGUAGGAAGCAGGCACCAGAAAAGAUCACAGGUAUAAAUGGGUUAGACUUGUAAUUUAUUCUUAAGGAAAAAAUAAAUCUCUAUAGAACAUUUACAGAGAGAAGACACUUUACCAUUUUUAGUUGUAAAUGUUCUCCUAUAGGUGUUGACAUACUUCCUCACAUCAUCCUCCUUAGACAGGUUGAAAAGCUUGCGGAUUUUGGAAGCUCUCUUUGGACCCCUCAUUCUUGGCUUUUCAACAUCUGUCAGGCCAGGCAAAUCAUUUUCACCCUUCUUCACAAUUACCAAGUUGAGAACAGAGAGGUCAGGGCUGACAAUGCACCCACGAACAGACUUCCUCCUACGCUCUCCAUUGCGCCUUCCGUAACCACGGAAACAAGGAGUUCC
RNAcentral lists this long non-coding RNA (430 nucleotides) under Glycine max (soybean). RNAcentral describes it as "long non-coding RNA (GMAX_LNC002989)". The record is from RNAcentral. Lineage: Eukaryota; Viridiplantae; Streptophyta; Magnoliopsida; Fabales; Fabaceae.